GCGCCGCUAGUGUAGUGGGUAUCAUACAAGAUUCCCAUUCUUGUGACCCGGGUUUCGAUUCCCGGGCGGUGCA
Non-coding RNA from Gymnodraco acuticeps, 73 nucleotides. The record is from the annotation of a RefSeq genome assembly. Lineage: Eukaryota; Metazoa; Chordata; Actinopteri; Perciformes; Bathydraconidae.